This 147-nucleotide unclassified non-coding RNA is filed under the name soil metagenome. RNAcentral's name for it is "partial internal transcribed spacer 1". The record is from RNAcentral.
UAAUAAGUGUUUUUAUGGCACUUUUUAAAUCCAUAUCCACCUUGUGUGCAAUGUCAGUCGAUCUUCUUCAUGGAGAUCGACCAAACAUCAACCUUUAUCUUUUAACCUCUUUGUCUGAAAAAUAUUAUGAAUAAACAAUUCAAAAUA